AGAGUUUGAUCAUGGCUCAGGACGAACGCUGACGGUGUGCUUUAGGCAUGCAAGUCGAACGAGAAAGCCCUUCGGGGUGAGUAAAGUGGCGAACGGGUGAGUAACACGUGGGCAACCUGCCCCUCGCAGGGGGACAACCGGAGGAAACUCCGGCUAAUACCCCGUACGCUUGUUGGAUCGCAUGGUCCGGCAAGGAAAGGUAGCUUCGGCCAUCCGGCGAGGGAUGGGCCCGCGUUGCAUUAGCUAGUUGGUGGGGUAACGGCCUACCAAGGCGACGAUGCGUAGCUGGKCUGAGAGGAUGAUCAGCCACACUGGGACUGAGACACGGCCCAGACUCCUACGGGAAGCAGCAGCCAGGAAUCUUGGGCAAUGGGCGAAAGCCUGACCCAGCAACACCGUGUGGGCGAUGAAGGCCUUAGGGUCGUAAAGCCCUGUUGAUAGGGACGAAGGGCGAAGGGUUAAUAGCCCCUAGCUUGACGGUACCUUUCGAGGAAGCCCCGGCUAACUACGUGCCAGCAGCCGCGGUAAUACGUAGGGGGCGAGCGUUGUCCGGAAUUAUUGGGCGUAAAGAGCGUGUAGGCGGUUCGGUAAGUCUGCUGUGAAAUCCUGGGGCUCAACCCCGGGCGUGCAGCGGAUACUGCCGGGCUAGAGGGUGGUAGAGGCGAGUGGAAUUCCCGGUGUAGCGGUGAAAUGCGCAGAUAUCGGGAGGAACACCAGUAGCGAAGGCGGCUCGCUGGGCCACACCUGACGCUGAGACGCGAAAGCGUGGGGAGCGAACAGGAUUAGAUACCCCAGUAGUCC
This 801-nucleotide ribosomal RNA is filed under the name uncultured Rubrobacter sp. RNAcentral describes it as "bacterial SSU rRNA". It matches the Rfam family "Bacterial small subunit ribosomal RNA", at positions 8 to 796 of the family's 1533-position model. The record is from RNAcentral. Lineage: Bacteria; Bacillati; Actinomycetota; Rubrobacteria; Rubrobacterales; Rubrobacteraceae.